Molecule: RNA transcript, 2777 nt
Organism: Prosopis cineraria
Lineage: Eukaryota; Viridiplantae; Streptophyta; Magnoliopsida; Fabales; Fabaceae
Exons: 11
Source: RefSeq, a predicted model, not a curated record
AGGCCGUUUGGUCUCAAUCAUCGUUCUUUCUUCUGCCCUAAUCGACGACUUCCUGCUGGGAAGGAGAUCGCGGCCUUCUAUCAAGUUUCUUUGAUUUGCGGCUCGAGACUCUAGAUAGUUGUAAUUGGUGGCUGUCUAUUUCUUCUUCAGGCAGCAAUGCAGGAAUAUGACAGAGACGGUUAUGAAGAUUAUGAUGAUUAUGAUGAUGAGGGACAAGAGCAAGAAUAUGAAUAUGAAGAGGAGGGGGAGGAGGAAUAUGAAGAGGAACAACCUCCUAAACCGACAAAGGAAGAACUGGAGUACCUUGAAUUGAGGCAGAAAUUGAAAGAAUCGAUUAGAAAACAGAUGAAGAAGGAGAGUAGUACAUCGCAUGCCGGUUCAAGUGAAAGGAAGAAAAAGCUUCCUUACGAUAAUUAUGGGUCAUUUUUUGGUCCUUCUCAACCUGUUAUUGCGCAAAGAGUCAUCCAAGAGAGCAAGUCACUGUUAGAAAACCAGCAUUUGGCAUCUAGGCUUUCUAACCCACUUCAUAUUAACAAAAACAAAAACAAAGUAUCCAAUGGGGGAUCAAAAUCUGCAGUUCAUAAUCAGCUACCCAAAGUCAGUGAGGUGAAGCUUAAAGCACAGAAAAUUAAGGAUACAAGAGAUUAUUCCUUUCUUUUGUCUGAUGAUGCAGAGCUUCCAGCUCCUUCAAAAGAGCCUCCACCCAGGAAUAUGCCUCUCAGAUGUUCUGAUGCACGGCCAGCUCAAGUACAAGGAAGGAAUAAGCAGCCUUUAAGCAGUGGUGGCAAGCAUGUUAAUGGUGGUCGUGAGGACAGAAAACUAGGUUCUGCAGGUGGCCAAUUACUUCCUAAAGUGGGGUCCGGUAAUAAGUUAGCUUCUUGCAGUAAGCCUAGUAUGGCAUCAGCAGAUUCAAGAAAACAGCUUGGAAACAACAGUGUGAAUGGACCUGGCCGGCCUGUGGGACUGAAAAGCUUGCCUCCAAAGGCACCUGUUGGUACCAUGAGCAAUAAGUCUUUGGUGACUGGUAUAAAAGGCCAUGUAAAUGCUGUUCAGAAACCACCCGUUUCAAAAACUCAUUCAUCUAUUUCAAAGCAGAGUGUGGAACAAAGAAAAGAUGCUAGGGAAAAGCCUAAAAUGAUGCCCAGACAGCCGGUGGCACCUUCUAUUCCUCAGAAAUCAAAGCCACCUACACAGGUUACAACACAACGUCCAAUCCAAGAUCAACGCCCCAAGAAGAAGCCUGUAAGACGGCCCUUUGAUGACGAUGACGACGAUGAGGGUCAAAGGGCUAUUAGCAUGAUCAGAAGAAUGUUUCACUACAACCCCAACAAAUUUGCUGAUGAUGACGAGGAUGAUAUGAACAUGGAGGCAGGCUUUGAUGACAUCAUGAGGGAGGAAAGAAGGAGUGCCAAAAUUGCUAGGAGGGAGGAUGAAGAGCAACUCCGAUUGAUAGAGGAGGAGGAAGAAAGAGAACGGAGAAGUCGAAUUGCCAAGUUAAAGAAGCGUAAGCUUGCCAAUCAUUAACACCAUAUCUUCCCUUGACUUCCCCAUUUGUAAUCCGUAUAAUUAGAGACAUUCCUCCUUAAUGCCCGUUCGAAUGGUGGGAAAGACGUCCCUGUGUAGGCGCAGGGGAUGCAUGCAUGUUGCGAUAUUUUUUUGACUGAAGACUGAAAACUUCAUUCAGAGCAAAUGGUAACCAAACAAUUUAUAAGGCAAGGAUCCAAAGAUUAACUUUCAUCAUCCACCACGUCUAAGCCUAAAGGUGGGGAUGAUUAAAGAUGAUCACUGUGGCAACUUAUAAGAGCCUUCUUCUCCUUCUUUGAAUUAGAGGGGCAGGCACUUAUGGCUUGAAGUAACAAGAUCAAACCUAUGACCUCUUACUUAUAUGAGAGUUUACAUGUCAUUAGAUUACAACACCAUUGGCUACCUUUCCAAUCUUCCAAUUCUACCGUAAACCCUUUAAUUUAUUUUGAGUGAAAAGGGAAUUAUAUUGACAAAAUAUACAAGCGGAACAAGUGUUUAUAAAAGAAACACGCUAAGCCUCAUGGUCCAGAGAUUGAAGGAUCCCAUGGGCUUUAACAUCAUAAUAAACUAAGUUAUAGGCGGAUCUAACAAUACAAUGGGGAGUGAUGAUUUCAUCGGUAAGUGUUCUCUUUAUUCAUGUUGGUCCAAAGUUUCCAUGCCACAACACUGAAGCUGAGUCUCCAAUGAGUCCUCAUGAUGCGUGGUUUGAGGUUCCAAUGUAACCACUCCUCAAAAGGCUUGCUGAAGAAGGUAAGAGGCUGCAUGCUGUGGGACUAGCAUUAUGCAACAAAGUCUGGCUGUGUUACAUCUAUACGGGACGUGGUCCACAUCUUCAACAGCUUUGUUGCAAGCUUCACGAGGCAUUUGAUGGUAAGCCUUGUCGAACUCGUUCAGCAUUAGUGAGCAGGCGGUUCUUCUCAGAUAACCAAAGGAAAGUAUUGACUCUAGGCACCCCAGGCCAUUUCCAGAUCAAACUCCAUGGCUGUGGUGCUUCACUUCCAAAGGGGUUCUUAGGUUGAUUUGUAUGCAGAAGCUGCCGAGAAUUCACCAUUGCUAGUAAGGUCCCAAUAGUAUUAGUCAGGAUUGUAGGAGUAACAACUUUUAAAUGGUGGGCAGACUUCCUACUCUUCCAUAAUUAUCAUGCAAUAAGCACAUGUUCUGUGGGCAGACGAAUUGUGGCUUAAAAUUACUGGGCAUCCUGGAAGGAUUAACAGAAAAAGAAUGUUGUGGAAUGAAGCUGAGUUUGUUAUAAA